Long non-coding RNA from Eucalyptus grandis, 492 nucleotides. RefSeq lists it as uncharacterized. Lineage: Eukaryota; Viridiplantae; Streptophyta; Magnoliopsida; Myrtales; Myrtaceae. The record is from RefSeq and is a predicted model, not a curated record. The transcript is spliced from 3 exons.
UUCUUUAGAACAUCUCAUGUAUGUCUGCAGAUUUCUUGUAGUGUCCACCACUAGAGCUACGUACUUUUCUAAUUGUAACUUCACUUUCUCUGACUCGAUAAUGCAGGAACAUCAGCAUGCCCAAAUGGAAAACUUUAUUGUCGGAAUGCAGGACAUGUUCCUGUCAUUAUAUUUUCUUCGAGAGUAAAUGAUGGCAUUUGUGACUGCUGUGACGGGAGUGACGAAUACAGUGAUAAAGUGAAGUGCCUGAAUACAUGUCGGGAAACUGGAAAAGCAGCAUGAGAUGAGCUGAAGAAAAAAAUUGCUGUGUACCAGGAGGGCGUUGCCAUAUGUAAACAGGAGGUGGAACAGGCUAAAGUAGCUCUUGCAAAAGACAAGGAAGAAUUGUCAAAACUGAAAAGUGAGGAGAAAGUACUGAAAGUGCAGUUUGAACAGCUUAAAGAGCGCAAAGAACAAAUAGAGAAAGCAGAGGAGAAAGAACGAAUGAGAAAA